Molecule: long non-coding RNA, 2105 nt
Filed under: Apteryx owenii (little spotted kiwi)
Lineage: Eukaryota; Metazoa; Chordata; Aves; Apterygiformes; Apterygidae
Description: lncRNA (ENSAOWG00000004545.1)
Source: RNAcentral
GUGUUGCCAACAUCAGACAUUUCCCAGCUCCGGUGUCGCCAACGUCAGACGAUUCCCAGCUCCAAUGUUAUCUGAGGUCGGAUGAUUCCCAGCUCCGACGUCCUCCCCAACAUUGGACAUUUCCCAGCUCCGGUGUCGCCAACGUCAGACGAUUCCCAGCUCCAAUGUUAUCUGAGGUCGGAUGAUUCCUGGCUCCGACAUCCCCAACGUUGGAUGUUUCCCAGCUCUGGUGUUGCUCCAGGUCGGACAUUUCCCAGCUCCGGUGUCACCAACGUCAGACGAUUCCCAGCUCCAAUGUUAUCUGAGAUCGGAUGAUUCCCAGCUCCGAUGUCCCCAAAGUAGGACAAUUCCCAGCUCUGAUGUUAUCUGAGGUCAGAUGAUUCUUGGCUCCGACGUCCCCAACGUUGGAUGUUUCCCGGCUCCGGUGUUGCUCCAGGUUGGACGUUUCCCAGCUCCGGUGCCGCCAACGUCGGACAAUUCCCAGCUCUGAUAUUAUCUGAGGUCGGAUGAUUCUUGGCUCCAACGUCCUCAACGUUGGGUGUUUCCCGGCUCCAGUGUUGCUCCAGGUUGGAUGUUUCCCGGCUCCGGUGUCGCCAACAUUGGACAUUUCCCAGCUCCGGUGUCGCCAACGUCAGACAAUUCCCAGCUCUAAUGUUAGCUGAGAUCAGAUGAUUCCCAGCUCCGACGUCCCCAACGUUGGCGUUUCCCAGCUCCGGUGUUGCUCCAGGUUGGACGUUUCCCAGCUCCGGUGCCGCCAACGUCAGACGAUUCCCAGCUCCAAUGUUAGCUGAGAUCAGAUGAUUCCCAGCUCCGACGUCCCCAACGUUGGACGUUUCCCAGCUCCGGUGUUGCUCCAGGUUGGAUGUUUCCCAGCUCCGGUGUCGCCAACGUCAGACGAUUCCCAGCUCCAAUGUUAUCUGAGGUCAGAUGAUUCCCAGCUCCGAUGUCCCCAAAGUUGGACGAUUCCCGGCUCUUGGUGUCCCCCCAGGUUGGAUGUUUCCCAGCUCCGAUGUCCCCAACAUCGGAGGUUUCCCAGCUCCAAUGUCACCCCAGGUCCGAUGUCUGCUGGCUCCAGUGUCCCCAACAUCAGACGCUUCCCGGCUCCGAUGUCCCCAACAUCAGACGUUUCCCGGCUCCGGGGGACCCUCAAGGUCAGACGUUCCCCGAUUUCAGCGUCCCCCCAGGUCGGACGUUGCCCAGCUCCGAUGUUCCUCGUGUCGGAUGUUUCCUGACUCCAAUGGCCCCAACGUCGGACACUUCCCAUCUCCGAUGUCCCCAACGUUGGGCUUUUCCUGGCUCCGACGUCCCUCCGGGUCAAGCCGUUGGCUGGCGCUGCCGGUUUCGGUGUUCGUUGACUCUGGUGGACCUCCAGGUCGGACAUCCGUUGGCUCCGGCAUCCGCUUGGGUGUCGGCCGGCUCCGGCGUCCCCCAACUCGGACAUUUCCCGGCUCCGACGUCUCCCACGUUGGACGCUCGCCGGCGCCGCCGGUUUUGGUGUCGGCCGGAUUCAAUAUCGGCCGGUUUUGGUGUCCACCAGCUCCGACACCUGCGGGUCGGACACUGCCUGUCCCCGUCACCCCGUUUUCCGUCCCCGUCGCCCCGUUUUCCGUCUCCGCCGCCCGCCGGCUUCAACGUCCCCCCAGGUGAGACGUUUCCCAGUGCCAAAACCCGCCGGUUUUGGUGUUUGCCAGCUCCAACAUCUGCCGGUUUUGGUGUCCACCAGCUCCGGCACCCGCAGGUGGGACAUUUCCCGGCUCCGUCACCCGUUGGCUUCAACGUCCUCCAGCUCGGAUGUUUUCCAGUGCCAAAAAACACUGGUUUUGGUGUCCACCAGCUCCAACAUCUCCUGAUUUUGGUGUCUGCCACCUCCAACAUCUGCCAGUUUUGGUGUCCGCCAGCUCCAACAUCUGUUUUUGGUGUCCGCCAGCUCCAACAUCUGCCAGUUUUGGUGUCCACCAGCUCCAACAUCUCCUGGUUUUGGUGUCCACCAGCUCCAACAUCUGGUUUUGGUGUCCGCCAGCUCCAACAUCUCCUGAUUUUGGUGUCCGCCAGCUCCAACAUCUGCUGGUUUUGGUGUCUGCUGGCUCCAACACCUGCCGGUUUUG